RNAcentral lists this ribosomal RNA (297 nucleotides) under Klebsiella pneumoniae. Its description in RNAcentral is "partial 16S ribosomal RNA". It matches the Rfam family "Bacterial small subunit ribosomal RNA", at positions 800 to 1096 of the family's 1533-position model. Lineage: Bacteria; Pseudomonadati; Pseudomonadota; Gammaproteobacteria; Enterobacterales; Enterobacteriaceae. The record is from RNAcentral.
CCGUAAACGAGGUCGAUUUGGAGGUUGUGCCCUUGAGGCGUGGCUUCCGGAUCUAACGCGUUAAAUCGAACGCUUGGGGCGUGCGGCCGCAAGGCUACGACUCAAAUGAAUUGACGGGGGGCCGCACAAGCGGUGGAGUAUAGGGUUUCAUUCUAUGCAACGCGAAGAACCGUACCUGGUUGUGACAUCCACAGAACGUUCCAUAGAUGGAUUGUAUCCUUUCGGUUCUGUUCGACCUGUGGUGCGUCGUUCUUCGCGUCUCGGGGUGGUGAAUUUUUGGUUCAUGCCCGCAACGAG